GUAGGUCUGUGGUUGAAAAUCGAGGCCAGUCGCAGGCAAAACGAUCCACGUAAGAAAUUUAAAAUGAAUUUUGAGCAUGGUGCGGUUUAGAAGUAAGACCUGCCGGUAAAACCGAGAGGGUUAGUAGUGAGAGGCAGCAGCCGCGUAGCGAACGCUCCAGCAGGCGGGUGUGGGGGCAAAAACCAGGUCAGCUGC
RNAcentral lists this non-coding RNA (195 nucleotides) under human gut metagenome. RNAcentral describes it as "raiA RNA". It matches the Rfam family "raiA RNA". The record is from RNAcentral.